UUCAUGUCAGAGACCGAGAACUCUUGC
RNAcentral lists this non-coding RNA (27 nucleotides) under Gallus gallus (chicken). RNAcentral also lists the same sequence under 2 other names. The record is from RNAcentral. Lineage: Eukaryota; Metazoa; Chordata; Aves; Galliformes; Phasianidae.